This 27-nucleotide non-coding RNA is filed under the name Mus musculus (house mouse). The record is from RNAcentral. Lineage: Eukaryota; Metazoa; Chordata; Mammalia; Rodentia; Muridae.
UACGCGUUCUCACGACCGGCCAGGAAA